GGUUUUGUAGUGUAAUAAACACAUUAGGUUGCAAAUCUGAUAAUGUAUUUUUAGUAAAUAUUAAAACUU
RNAcentral lists this transfer RNA (69 nucleotides) under Petrobiellus sp. 2 JZ-2014. RNAcentral's name for it is "tRNA-Cys". It matches the Rfam family "tRNA". From Rfam's summary of the family: Transfer RNA (tRNA) molecules are approximately 80 nucleotides in length. Their secondary structure includes four short double-helical elements and three loops (D, anti-codon, and T loops). Further hydrogen bonds mediate the characteristic L-shaped molecular structure. tRNAs have two regions of fundamental functional importance: the anti-codon, which is responsible for specific mRNA codon recognition, and the 3' end, to which the tRNAs corresponding amino acid is attached (by aminoacyl-tRNA synthetases). tRNAs cope with the degeneracy of the genetic code in two manners: having more than one tRNA (with a specific anti-codon) for a particular amino acid; and 'wobble' base-pairing, i.e. permitting non-standard base-pairing at the 3rd anti-codon position. The record is from RNAcentral. Lineage: Eukaryota; Metazoa; Arthropoda; Insecta; Archaeognatha; Machilidae.